This 1524-nucleotide long non-coding RNA is filed under the name Homo sapiens (human). Its description in RNAcentral is "long intergenic non-protein coding RNA 1206". The record is from RNAcentral. Lineage: Eukaryota; Metazoa; Chordata; Mammalia; Primates; Hominidae.
GAUUCAGACCUUGACAGUUGUAACCGAUAGACUGGGCUGGGGCAACGCUGAUGAAAGGCAAAUUCCUGAGAGAAAAAUCACCCAGAUUUUUCAGUGCCUUCUCUAGCUUUCUAGAAGUUGUUAUGAGUGGACCUGACUACCUAGAGAGAGUAAUACAGAAGCUCCGUGCCGAUCACAGCUACCUCAUUACCAUGUUCCUCCAAGAUGGCCGCCCCUGAGGAGAAUCAUCAACUGGGCUUUACGGAAGAGAGAAAUCCAAACGACCAUCAGCAACAAAUGAAAGACUGAAGUUGAAAGGAAAUCCAUAAUUUUUGAAUGCUGGCCGAGGUCUGUGACCUCUGACUGAAUGGUUUCCAAGCUCCGAAUUCCUAGGUGAUGUUUUCAUUUGUUCACACUUGCUGAAGAAGGGAAAGGCUCUCUGAUUUACGUGUAAGCAAAACAAUCUAAACAGUAGGAUAAAAUCAUGUUGGAAUGGAGUUCUGUGUGGAUGCUCCUUUGAACCAAAUCAGUUCCACAACUGACCCUGUCAGGGACAUAUAAAUUUAGCAUUUUGGUGUGGAUACAGAAGACGAGAUUAACACAGAUCAAGUAACAUGGAAAUAAAAAAGGAGACAAUGCUGGAUGAUACAGGGGCAGCCAACAAGAGGAGAAAACCCAAGCAUUGGCAAAUGCCUCAUUAUCCAAAGAACACUGAGGUGUGGAGCAAAACUGUGUUGAAUGAACUGUAGAUGGAAAUUCUCUCCUUCCCACCGAGGAGCCGCUGCAGGUUGCAGACUCCCAGAAUGCCACACUGAGAAGAGGAGGGCUAAAAUUCUAGAGCAGAAUCCCUGGGGCAGCCCCUGCUGAAGAAGGGUGCAUCUGUUGAGAAUCUCAUCACCGCCCCCACCCCGCCCAGCCUUCAAUUUAGAGGAAUUUCUAGUUCACGCAGAAUGAAGACAAGAUCACAUAAGGGCCUCAGAGUAUGUCAGCUGGGGUCAGACGGGAACAGGAGUCUGGCUCAACACACAUUUAUUGCACUCCUGUUUCAUGCCAAGAAAUGUACCAAAAUCUGGGACUGUGUAACACAGCAAAGGAAAAGACUCAUCUCCAGGAAGCCCCCUUGUCUAGGAAGAGAAAUUGAAUAUCAGCAUAAGGUGGUGAAAAGCUGUGAAGGAGAUGAGUGCCAGGAGUCCAUGGAGGAAGGAUUCUAGCCUGGACAGGUGAUUGUGGUGAAUAGUCAUGAGAAUCUGGGAACUGGCUCCUGCUCUGUCUAUCUUGGAGAUGCAUCUUUUAGUCUCCAUGAAUUGCAAGGGAAAACAAGUGGUACACUGGUAUUUCUAUUUGAUAACCUGUUCUCUUUGGAAUUCCGGUUAGAAAUCAAAGGCUUACUUGAGUUUUAAUGCUUUCGGGACUUCAAAUGCUUUUCUAUCUUCCUAAUAAUAUAUUAACAUUUUCUGAAGACAACAUAUAUGUGGAAAACAACAUUAUUUACUCAAAUAAUUUUUUUUGAAAAAUGGACCAAAAAAAAAGAAAAACCAACAAAAA